RNAcentral lists this ribosomal RNA (404 nucleotides) under Pseudomonas sp. Its description in RNAcentral is "partial 16S ribosomal RNA". It matches the Rfam family "Bacterial small subunit ribosomal RNA", at positions 355 to 776 of the family's 1533-position model. Lineage: Bacteria; Pseudomonadati; Pseudomonadota; Gammaproteobacteria; Pseudomonadales; Pseudomonadaceae. RNAcentral also lists the same sequence under 3 other names. The record is from RNAcentral.
UGGGGAAUAUUGGACAAUGGGCGCAAGCCUGAUCCAGCCAUGCCGCGUGAGUGACGAAGGUCUUCGGAUUGUAAAGCUCUUUUGGCGGGGACGAUAAUGACGGUACCCGCAGAAUAAGCCCCGGCUAACUUCGUGCCAGCAGCCGCGGUAAUACGAAGGGGGCUAGCGUUGUUCGGAAUUACUGGGCGUAAAGCGCACGUAGGCGGAUUGCUAAGUCAGGGGUGAAAUCCCGGGGCUCAACCUCGGAACUGCCUUUGAUACUGACAGUCUUGAGUCCGGAAGAGGUGAGUGGAAUUCCUAGUGUAGAGGUGAAAUUCGUAGAUAUUAGGAAGAACACCAGUGGCGAAGGCGGCUCACUGGUCCGGUACUGACGCUGAGGUGCGAAAGCGUGGGGAGCAAACAGG